Molecule: long non-coding RNA, 2950 nt
Organism: Equus caballus (horse)
Lineage: Eukaryota; Metazoa; Chordata; Mammalia; Perissodactyla; Equidae
Source: Ensembl
GGGACUCGGGGAUGACAGCCUGUUUGCUUAACACGCUUUUUAGAAGACAUGCUUGCAAGCUAUUAGUUAGCUUCCUUCUUCCCUCCCUGUCCCCACCACCCUAACCGCUCCUCACACUGUAAUUUGGCAGCGGCUGCUUGCAGGCCUGCUGUGCGCUUGGUCCCUGACUGACUCAGAUGCAGAUGGCAGCAGAGGCAGCCACAGGAAGUGGGAUGCAGCCUGUCACCUCUGAGACUGGCUUGUGCUUGUCAACCUCGCUGUGGACCCUGUGAGGCUACAGGCGGUGAGCCCUUUGAGGGCCAGAAGCGUCUUUAUGCACCUCUUCUCUCACCAACACAUGGGACAGAGAAUGUGACUAGCUAACAUCUACCGAGUGUCUCCUGUCCCACAGGCCAGGGACUCUGCCAGAAACAGAUGUUAUUACAGUGGAGGUCAGCCGCUGACGUGUACCAGCUGCGGGAUUCGGAGCUCCCUGCUGACGGAUGGGCUUCACCUUUCCAGUCCAUUUCAGAAAUCUGAAGACCAGAGCUGGAAGGAUCUUUGGAGGUCAGCAAGGUCAAGUUCCUUUAUUUGCAGAUCAGGACUGACUGCAUCAGAAUGGCGGUUCAAAAUGGCUGAAUAACCUCCCUACCACAGUUGGGAAGACAAGAAAUUGUGCCCACGCAGCCAUCAAGCAGUCCAAUUAUAUUUUUUCACUUCAUUCCGCAAAAAUAAGAAAAAGAAAGAAAAAGAAAGAAAAAAAGCCAGCCAGCCUUGAGCUGUCUUGAAAACUCUUUGAAGUGUAGAUUUUGCGUUAAAGCUACAUCUUGUAGCUGUAGGAUGGGGCAGUGGGAAGAGAAAGGAGUGAGGAAGGGUACCAGAAGUUUGGCAAAAUGGGAUCAGGUGACCAUCUGUUUGACUGCAAGACACGAGAAAAAAGGCUAAGCCAUAAGAGUUAGUGACACAUGAGAGAAGAGGGGAGGAAUUGCCUGGAACAGCAACGUCCACAGAUAACCUGAGACUCUACAAAACUAUGGGAAUUGGUAAAGGAAUUUGGUCAUUUUCUCCAGAUCCCCAGGACAACAAGAAAGGAGUCAUAGACCUGGGUUCAAGCCCUGGCUAAGCCACUUACUUUUGACCGUGACCCUGAUGAAGCCAGUGACUCUCAAACUUGAGCACCAUCGGAAUCACCCUGGAGCGCUUGUUCAAACACAGAUUUCUGGUCUUACCUCCAGGGUCGCCGAUUCUGUGGGUCUGGACUGAGGCCUGAGAAUUUGCAUUGCUAAUAAUUUCUGGGUGAGGUUGCCACUGCUGGUGGUCCAGGGACUGUCUUUGGAAACCAUUGGGAUAAGCUAUUAAUCUCUUGCAACUUCCUUUUUUUCCCCAUAGGUAAAAAGAAAAUAAUCAUGGGCUUAGGGUCUGCUGGGAUUUGAAGGAUCUUGUGAAUUCAACCCUCUCCCUCUGUAGAUGAGGAAACCGAGGCUCAGAAAAGUGAGGACACCAAUCCUUGUUGGCAGAACCAGGAUAAAAACCCAGCAAGAUGGCGACCGGCAGAAGUGGCUGGCAUGUGUUCUGGGCUGGCCCUCUAAAGAAGCUGAAGACUGGGCCCAACCUACAACAACCAACAAGAAUGCCAACAGAUCAGCGACCACGUGGGCAAGCUGCAGUGGUGCCUGACCCCCUACACAGACCUUCAGAGUCAAUUGCUGCUGCUUCCUGUCUGCUUUCCAAAUCUCAGACAAAUUACCUUGUGACCCACCCUAACUCAGGACGAGGCAGGGAAGGGAAUUCUGAGAAACGUAGUUCCAGCUUGGCUUAAUUUACCCUACGGAACCACCACACACGGUGACAAUUAUUUUACAGACAUUAUUUCAUUUGUCUUCAAAGCAACCUCCUAUGGCAAGAGCUCGAGUUUACAGGUGGGGAAACGAAGGUUUCAGAGGCUACAUAACUUGUCUAAGAUAUAAACUUGCUUAAUGUGCAAGGGGUUUUGAAGUCAGAUCUCUGUGACAUUAAACCUGUGUUCUCACCCCUGCAUGACAGUAUACACUGAUUUUUCUCUAAGUGUUCCUCUGUCUACUCUCAUGGAAACUGUCACUGGCAUAAGUAAAAGGCUUCACACAGACUGCUCUAGGCAUAUCAGACACCCCAGAUGCUUUUCUCACCUUUCCUCAUUCCCUAGACCAGAGCUUCCUCGCUGAGGAGCUGCCAUUAGAUCAUAGGCCUGCUGGGGAUAGGCCUGGGGCAGGCGGAGCCCCUGUGAAGGUCACCUCCAGCUCUUGGCAACCUCAUGGGUUUACCCCAGUGGGUGCCAUGACGUGAAGGCCGGGGAGCAUUAGUAUGGUCUCCCAGGACAUACCUCACCUCACAGGGGUGGAAUUUACCAUCCUCUGGGAAAUGAACCUAAGAGAACUUAUGUGCAGCCUGUUAGCGUGAGAGAUACUGGCUGGAGCCUGCGGAGGAGGAAGUCUUCACGUGACACUGUCAAACUCCCGGCAGGCAGACAGGUGUCUUGGUUUUGAUUUUCGUUUUAUAAACAUUUUUCCUGCCUGUCAGUUCUCCAAAUAGAGCCAAACUCAUCUCCAUGGCAGCUGAGGCGUGAGAGCCCUAGUGAAUAUGUCAGAGCUGAGGAGAACGCUCCACUCCAAAACAGGCGUAAAAGGGAGGAAAGAAAGAGGUUUGCUCUUAUCGCAGAGUCUGGACAAUAUUGAGUAUGGCAGAGUGGUCGAGACCAGAGGUUCUGCGGUCAGACGCCUGGUCUGAAUUCCAGGUGCGCCAUCACAGAAAGACUUUGAGCAAUGACUUACUAAGAAGUGAGGCCCUUACGAAGAUGUAUGAUAUAUGUAGUGGAUUAUAUGUAUAUAAUAUGGAUUAUAUUAUAUAAUGUAAUGUAUGUAAAUAUACGUAAUAUGUAAUAUGCAUAUAUGUAAAUAUACACUUAUAAUUAUAUAAUACUGAACUUGAAUACACC